RNAcentral lists this ribosomal RNA (405 nucleotides) under uncultured bacterium. RNAcentral's name for it is "partial 16S ribosomal RNA". It matches the Rfam family "Bacterial small subunit ribosomal RNA", at positions 30 to 526 of the family's 1533-position model. The record is from RNAcentral.
AUUGAACGCUAGCGGCAUGCUUUACACAUGCAAGUCGAACGAGUGGCGGACGUGUGAGUAAUAUAUCGGAACGUGCCCAUUAGCGGGGGUUAACUACUCGAAAGAGUGGCUAAUACCGCAUACUUUCGGAUCGGCCUAUAUGGGAUUAGUUAGUGGGUGGGGUAAAGGCUCACCAUGGCAACGAUCCCUAGCUGGUUUGAGAGGACGACCAGCCACACUGGGACGGAGACACGGCCCAGACUCCUACGGGAGGCAGCAGUGGGGAAUUUUGGACAAUGGGGGAAACCCGGAUGCAGCCAUCCCGCGUGUAUGAGAAGGCCUUCGGGUUGUAAAGUACUUUUGGCGGAGAAGCGGUAUCUGCAGAAUAAGCACCGGCUAACUACGUGCCAGCAGCCGCGGUAAUUC